Molecule: RNA transcript, 1203 nt
Organism: Nylanderia fulva
Lineage: Eukaryota; Metazoa; Arthropoda; Insecta; Hymenoptera; Formicidae
Gene name: lys-63-specific deubiquitinase BRCC36
Source: RefSeq, a predicted model, not a curated record
GCUGAUUGAGAUUCAGUACAGCAUGUUACGUUAAAUAAGUCGCGCGAUUAUUUUUUAUUUGACUAGUGUAAAAUCGAAUCAAAAGAUAGAUUGAAAAAUUAUUGAAUCGAGAAAACGAUUCUUGUGACGUAAGAGAGGGGGAGGAAACAUCGCAUCGUUUAGCCGUUCGGAGUUCGGAAUUGUCAAGUAUUGUAAAAACAGCAUCGGUGAAUAGAUUGUCUUUAUAAACAAUGGAUAACUCUCCGUUGCAAAAAGUGGAACUGCAAACAGAUGUCUAUAUGGUGUGUUUACAACAUGCUUUAUCAACAGAAAACUUUGAAGUGAUGGGUUUACUUAUCGGCAAUUUUGCAUGUGGAAUAGCAAAAAUAUCAGCUGUUAUCAUUUUACGACGUUUAGACAAAAAGAAAGACAGGGUAGAAAUCUCUUCUGAACAAUUACUGAAAGCUGCUAGCGAAGCUGAGCGAUUAACAGUGGAAUUAAAUCGACCUAUGCGUGUUCUUGGCUGGUAUCAUUCCCAUCCACAUAUUACAGUUUGUCCUUCACAUGUAGAUGUGAGAACUCAAGCUACUUAUCAAACAAUGGAUCAUAGUUUUGUAGGCUUAAUAUUUUCAGUAUUUUCAGAAGGCAAAGACUCAAAGGAACACGAGAUAUUUUUAAAUUGCUUUCAAUCAGAUAAUGGUGAAGCCACAGAAAUACCAUUAGAAAUUGUACAUACUCCAGAUAUUUCGGAUAGAUGUUUGAGAACAAUGACAGAUCUGUCAAAAAUUUUGGUACAAGAAGAAGAAGAUAUGGCUGAAACUUGUAAAGAUCAUCCAGAUAUCCUUGCCAGCAUUCAUAAUAACGCUGUCAGAACACGUGCGUUGAUUCACAUAACAGAUAUUAUUACGAAGCCUUUGGUACAAACAUUUGAAAAGAGAAUAGCAUUGAAUAAAUUGCGUGCUAUGCAUCUUCAAAGACAAUUACAGGAGUUACAGAAGAUGUGUAAUGGAUAAAAACUUUUGAGAAAGAGAAAGUAUGACAAUUUAAAUCGUGAUAUAAAUUACAAUUUAUUUAUUCUGCAGAACGAGAAAGAUGUAUAGGAUGAGAGGGACUACGUGCUAACCUUUUGCGAGGCAGCUUUUCGAGUGUAGUUAACAGCUUUGCAAAAUCAGGACGUUUUUCUGCAUGGUAUGACCAACAAUGCAUUAAAAUGUCCUAAAAAAA